RNAcentral lists this ribosomal RNA (259 nucleotides) under uncultured Staphylococcus sp. RNAcentral's name for it is "partial 16S ribosomal RNA". It matches the Rfam family "Bacterial small subunit ribosomal RNA", at positions 103 to 356 of the family's 1533-position model. Lineage: Bacteria; Bacillati; Bacillota; Bacilli; Caryophanales; Staphylococcaceae. The record is from RNAcentral.
CGGGUGAGUAACACGUGGAUAACCUACCUAUAAGACUGGGAUAACUUCGGGAAACCGGAGCUAAUACCGGAUAAUAUAUUGAACCGCAUGGUUCAAUAGCGAAAGACGGUUUUGCUGUCACUUAUAGAUGGAUCCGCGCUGCAUUAGCUAGUUGGUAAGGUAACGGCUUACCAAGGCAACGAUGCGUAGCCGACCUGAGAGGGUGAUCGGCCACACUGGAACUGAGACACGGUCCAGACUCCUACGGGAGGCAGCAGCG